CCUACGGGAGGCAGCAGUGGGGAAUCUUGCGCAAUGGGCGAAAGCCUGACGCAGCCAUGCCGCGUGAAUGAUGAAGGUCUUAGGAUUGUAAAAAUUCUUUCACCGGGGACGAUAAUGACGGUACCCGGAGAAGAAGCCCCGGCUAACUUCGUGCCAGCAGCCGCGGUAAUACGAAGGGGGGCUAGCGUUGCUCGGAAUUACUGGGCGUAAAGGGAGCGUAGGCGGAUAGUUUAGUCAGAGGUGAAAGCCCAGGGCUCAACCUUGGAAUUGCCUUUGAUACUGGCUAUCUUGAGUAUGGGAGAGGUUAGCGGAACUCCGAGUGUAGAGGUGAAAUUCGUAGAUAUUCGGAAGAACACCAGUGGCGAAGGCGGCUAACUGGCCCAUUACUGACGCUGAGGCUCGAAAGCGUGGGGAGCAAACAGGAUUAGAUACCCUGGUAGUCCACGCCGUAAACGAUGAGUGCUAGUUGUCGGCAUGCAUGCAUGUCGGUGACGCAGCUAACGACAUUAAGACACCUCCGCCGUCGGGGAGGUACGGUCGCGAGAGUUAAACGUAACGUAAAGGAAGUUAGACGGUCGUUGAGACGUUGCCGACGGACGACGACGAGGGGAGGUUAGG
RNAcentral lists this ribosomal RNA (618 nucleotides) under uncultured bacterium. Its description in RNAcentral is "bacterial SSU rRNA". The stretch from base 1 to 522 matches the Rfam family "Bacterial small subunit ribosomal RNA", at positions 338 to 873 of the family's 1533-position model. The record is from RNAcentral.